AACAUUUCAAGCUUUUAUUGAGCUUCAUUCCUACUACUGUAUGCGUACAGCUCACAAGCAGCCCUCCCACAGAAGGGCAUGGCCUGCGGUCGAGGCCAGAUCACAGCUAGCUUUCUCAGCUGAAGCGGUCUCCUUCUCACUGCUGUCAGGUUUUCUCACGUCCCUGGAAGACCCUGAGCACGGAUCUCAACCGUUUCCCCUGCAACAUGUGAUUUUUAAGGAUACCCCAGCCCUGCUGGGACAGCCUAGAAAAGGAAGCCUUUGCCAUUCAGCCGGAAGAAGAAGUGAGAAGUAUCAAAAUAGAGCACACCUUUCAAGAUUAGAUUCAUGGCACUUCAAUGAAAUAUGCCUUUUCUCUGAUGCAAAUGAAACAAGGAAUGUGACCCCACUGUCCCUUGAACCGGCAGCUGAGGAUAUUCUCUGAAUGAGUGCUCCCUUCUUUGAACUAGCUCAAGUACGAGUCUUCCUGAGUCAAUACUGCUGGCGUACUAUCAACUUGUUGUAAACCCUCCUCACCUUUCUGAGGCUCCUGCACUGAAAAUUAGCCCCACUCCUCUUCCUCUGAAAUAACCUGAACAACAUCUCUUUUCCCAAGAAAAAUACAAGCACUGACAUGCCAUGAGUUAUCAUGACUGACGAAAGAAGAGUUUCAGUGUUCAAUUCCUUAAGCUUUUCCUCUUCUCUAGAACACUCUCCUACCAGGGCACAAUUCUCAGAACCCUAUUUACUUCAGAUCACAAUUUUGGCAACCAUUUUCCCAGAAACCCAGACUGUUAGCUAUAUCACAGAAUCCAUUCCUUCUUCUUCCCACCA
This 813-nucleotide long non-coding RNA is filed under the name Fukomys damarensis (Damara mole-rat). Its description in RNAcentral is "lncRNA (ENSFDAG00000022670.1)". The record is from RNAcentral. Lineage: Eukaryota; Metazoa; Chordata; Mammalia; Rodentia; Bathyergidae.